AUCUCGUAUCUGCUUUCUGAAUAUUUCUCUUUGGCUUCUAUACUUCUGUGUGGCUGCUUGCCUACUUAAGAGUGGUUGAGAGAAGAAAAAAAAUAAUGGAUAAUGGUAUCAUUCAUGAAACAUGCAAGUUACCAUUGGUUAUAUACGGCUAGGAUGUGUCAAGAACAGAAGGAUCACCAACACAUCAUGAAGCAGAAGUAUACGGUGGUUCAUAUAGUUUUCCUUUCAGUACCUUACUGAUAGUGCUACUAAACAAUCGAUCUCUAAGCACAUUAUAGCUGGGAACACUAGCCACACCAAAAAUGUACACCAAUAAGUUGAUGCAACAACAGCACACCUCCCUCUGCUCUGCUGUACAUGCAGGAACAACUAAUCUUCAGCUGCAGCUUAAUUUCUGUCAAAUGCUUGUGUGCCCUCCUAAACAUUCGCAAUUGUGCGGCUGCCAUGUGGGGUCGGUAUUGGGUGUGUCCAUCAUGACCAUAUGUGAUCAUCUGUGAGUCAUGAAUUAGGACCACAAAACCAUUUUAUUACUGUCCUAAUAUUUGUGAUAACUUUUCUGAAAGAUACAGGGAAGGAACUUUAUUUAGAAGAGCAACAAUAGAGGUCAGGCUGUGAGCGAGACAGAUGCUCAUGAGGCAGCCACGACAAGACAAUUACAACCCAACUCGCAAGUAAAACACACAUCACAUCUGCGGGAGGAUGAUAUGAGAUAGAUUAUAUCUGUUGGUUAGACCAUCAAGGAUUUAGGGUGUUUAUAUUCAAAGGAUGUUCUGAUAAAUUGGUCAUCCUUUCCAUAGGCAUCGUCUUUUGAAUACAUGAGAUUAUAUGCAUGCUUAAUAUUUUUAAUUUUAAUCAUGAAGGAGUUCAUUGUGAGGGUCCCAAGGAGUACGUCCACUUGGACGAGGAUGCUUAUUGCCCUGUUGUCUUCCACGACAUGUGUAGGCUACUGCGGUGCAAGGAUCUCGAUGUCGCCCAAGUCACUCUUUUUGUCCUGUAAGUUAGUACAACCUUGCAUUGCUGUAGGUAUGCAAAUUCAUUACGAUCAAGCUAAAAAGCCUGUACAACAACUUGCGUUCGUAGGAUGCAGUCAUAUGUGUGCAAGGAACUAGAUAAAAAUAUUAUCUAUCUAUCUCCUAUGCAUAUUUCCCAAAGGGCCAUCAUUGGCUUUGAUAUACCAGACACGGAUCCUAGGCUGGUGAAGCUGAAGGGGAUGCAGUGAGUGCUAGCUCGGAACUUGAUGCAAGAGGAAAUCAAGUUUAGAAAAGGACAAUAUGUCUUAGAAGCCAUGAAGAAUAUAAGGGGAAAUGGGUGCAUCCUUGCCGCCCACUAGUUUGGGUAAGUCAAAACGAUUCUUGCAAUAGCUACUAGGUUUGCCCCUUUUUAUAUUUGAAGAUUUGAGAUCAUUAUUGUUUCAAUGGUACAACUUGGGCGUCAUGGGCCACUGGAUUGUAUUUAUGAUCUAGCC
This 1465-nucleotide long non-coding RNA is filed under the name Sorghum bicolor (sorghum). RNAcentral's name for it is "long non-coding RNA (SBIC_LNC014918)". The record is from RNAcentral. Lineage: Eukaryota; Viridiplantae; Streptophyta; Magnoliopsida; Poales; Poaceae.